RNAcentral lists this ribosomal RNA (308 nucleotides) under Foraminifera environmental sample. Its description in RNAcentral is "SSU rRNA". It matches the Rfam family "Eukaryotic small subunit ribosomal RNA", at positions 1174 to 1432 of the family's 1831-position model. Lineage: Eukaryota; Foraminifera. The record is from RNAcentral.
AGAACGCGUGGAGCAUGUGGCUUAAUUUGACCCAACGCGGGAAAUCUUACCGGGUCCGGACACACUGAGGAUUGACAGGCAAAAGAUACAAGUUUUAUAACUUGCAUUGUAAAAUAUGCGAGUCCUUUCAUGAUUAUGUGAUAGGUGGUGCAUGGCCGUUCUUAGUUCGUGGAGUGAUCUGUCUGCUUAAUUGCGUUUCAUAACGAUUUAAAACACUAUGUUUUACGUUUGCUGUUCAUCUUACUACGGUUUGAUUCGAACGCACGUUACAUGGUUAAAAACAAUCGGAAAGCAACGAACGUGACCGA